ACCUGGCUGGUACAGUCGGUAGAACAUGUGACUCUUGAUCUCAAGGUUUUGAGUUCAAGUCCCAUGUUGGGUG
Molecule: transfer RNA, 73 nt
Filed under: Ailuropoda melanoleuca (giant panda)
Lineage: Eukaryota; Metazoa; Chordata; Mammalia; Carnivora; Ursidae
Rfam family: tRNA
About the family: Transfer RNA (tRNA) molecules are approximately 80 nucleotides in length. Their secondary structure includes four short double-helical elements and three loops (D, anti-codon, and T loops).
Source: Rfam by way of RNAcentral